CCUACCAAGGCGACGACGGGUAGCCGGCCUGAGAGGGCGACCGGCCACACUGGGACUGAGACACGGCCCAGACUCCUACGGGAGGCAGCAGUGGGGAAUAUUGCACAAUGGGCGAAAGCCUGAUGCAGCGACGCCGCGUGAGGGAUGACGGCCUUCGGGUUGUAAACCUCUUUCAGCAGGGACGAAGCGUAAGUGACGGUACCUGCAGAAGAAGCGCCGGCCGACUACGUGCCAGCAGCCGCGGUAAGACGUAGGGCGCGAGCGUUGUCCGGAUUUAUUGGGCGUAAAGAGCUCGUAGGCGGCUUGUCGCGUCGACUGUGAAAACCCGCAGCUCAACUGCGGGCCUGCAGUCGAUACGGGCAGGCUAGAGUUCGGUAGGGGAGACUGGAAUUCCUGGUGUAGCGGUGGAAUGCGCAGAUAUCAGGAGGAACACCGGUGGCGAAGGCGGGUCUCUGGGCCGAUACUGACGCUGAGGAGCGAAAGCGUGGGGAGCGAACAGGAUUAGAUACCCUGGUAGUCCACGCUGUAAACGUUGGGCGCUAGGUGUGGGGGACCUCUCCGGUUCUCUGUGCCGCAGCUAACGCAUUAAGCGCCCCGCCUGGGGAGUACGG
This 611-nucleotide ribosomal RNA is filed under the name uncultured bacterium. Its description in RNAcentral is "bacterial SSU rRNA". It matches the Rfam family "Bacterial small subunit ribosomal RNA", at positions 264 to 885 of the family's 1533-position model. The record is from RNAcentral.